AUUGAACGCUGGCGGCAUGCCUUACACAUGCAAGUCGAACGGCAGCGGACCUUCGGGUGCCGGCGAGUGGCGAACGGGUGAGUAAUAUAUCGGAACGUACCUUUCAGUGGGGGAUAACGUAGCGAAAGUUACGCUAAUACCGCAUAUUCUGUGAGCAGGAAAGCAGGGGAUCGCAAGACCUUGCGCUGAUUGAGCGGCCGAUAUCAGAUUAGCUAGUUGGUGAGGUAAAGGCUCACCAAGGCGACGAUCUGUAGCGGGUCUGAGGAGGAUGAUCCGCCACACUGGAACUGAGACGACGGUCCAGACUCCGUACGGGAGGCAGCAGGUAGGGGUAAG
This 336-nucleotide ribosomal RNA is filed under the name uncultured bacterium. RNAcentral's name for it is "bacterial SSU rRNA". It matches the Rfam family "Bacterial small subunit ribosomal RNA", at positions 30 to 365 of the family's 1533-position model. The record is from RNAcentral.